GACGAACGCUGGCGGCGUGCUUAACACAUGCAAGUCGAACGAAGUGGCGAACGGGUGAGUAACGCGUAAUCAACCUGCCCUUCAGCGGGGGACAACAGUUGGAAACGACUGCUACUACCGCAUACUGAAGGAGGGGAUUGCGUCUGAUUAGCUAGUUGGAGGGGUAACGGCCAACCAAGGCGAUGAUCAGUAGCCGGUCGGAGAGGAUGAACGGCAACAUUGGGACUGAGAAACGGCCCAGACUCCUACGGGAGGCAGCAGUGGGGAAUAUUCCGAAAUGGACGAAAGUCUGACGGAGCAACGCCGCGGGAGUGAUGACGGCCGUCGGGUUGUAAAGCUCUGUUAAUCGGGACGCGGUACCGGAAUAGAAAGCAACGGCUAACUACGUGCCAGCAGCCGCGGUAAUAC
RNAcentral lists this ribosomal RNA (408 nucleotides) under uncultured bacterium. RNAcentral describes it as "partial 16S ribosomal RNA". It matches the Rfam family "Bacterial small subunit ribosomal RNA", at positions 28 to 526 of the family's 1533-position model. The record is from RNAcentral.